Bacillus amyloliquefaciens is the source of this 233-nucleotide non-coding RNA. Lineage: Bacteria; Bacillati; Bacillota; Bacilli; Caryophanales; Bacillaceae. The record is from Rfam.
GAAAAGGUUUUGAUUGAGACAAGUAGGGUAUCUGAUUGUUCAAGAGAGCUGAUGGCCGGUGAAAAUCAGCACAUAAGAUAUGCCGAAUACACUCAUGAACCGCUUUUGCGAACAAAGCCCUUCCAAGGCUUUCAGUAGUGAAAGAACGGACACGGUCCGUUAUCAAAAAGAGUGAUAAAAGCUUUUUUAUGCUUUUAUUAGUAGGGUGGUACCGCGAUUAUAUCGUCCCUUCG